AUUGAACGCUGGCGGCAUGCCUUACACAUGCAAGUCGAACGGUAACAGGUCUUCGGAUGCUGACGAGUGGCGAACGGGUGAGUAAUACAUCGGAACGUGCCCGAUCGUGGGGGAUAACGGAGCGAAAGCUUUGCUAAUACCGCAUACGAUCUACGGAUGAAAGCAGGGGACCGCAAGGCCUUGCGCGGACGGAGCGGCCGAUGGCAGAUUAGGUAGUUGGUGGGAUAAAAGCUUACCAAGCCGACGAUCUGUAGCUGGUCUGAGAGGACGACCAGCCACACUGGGACUGAGACACGGCCCAGACUCCUACGGGAGGCAGCAGUGGGGAAUUUUGGACAAUGGGCGAAAGCCUGAUCCAGCCAUGCCGCGUGCAGGAUGAAGGCCUUCGGGUUGUAAACUGCUUUUGUACGGAACGAAAAGACUCUUUCUAAUAAAGAGGGUCCAUGACGGUACCGUAAGAAUAAGUACCGGCUAACUACGUG
Molecule: ribosomal RNA, 482 nt
Filed under: uncultured bacterium
Lineage: Bacteria
Description: partial 16S ribosomal RNA
Rfam family: Bacterial small subunit ribosomal RNA
Source: RNAcentral